AACGCUAGCUACAGGCUUAACACAUGCAAGUCGAGGGGCAGCAUGGUCUUAGCUUGCUAAGGCCGAUGGCGACCGGCGCACGGGUGAGUAACACGUAUCCAACCUGCCGUCUACUCUUGGACAGCCUUCUGAAAGGAAGAUUAAUACAAGAUGGCAUCAUGAGUCCGCAUGUUCACAUGAUUAAAGGUAUUCUGGUAGACGAUGGGGAUGCGUUCCAUUAGAUAGUAGGCGGGGUAACGGCCCACCUAGUCUUCGAUGGAUAGGGGUUCUGAGAGGAAGGUCCCCCACAUUGGAACUGAGACACGGUCCAAACUCCUACGGGAGGCAGCAGUGAGGAAUAUUGGUCAAUGGACGAGAGUCUGAACCAGCCAAGUAGCGUGAAGGAUGACUGCCCUAUGGGUUGUAAACUUCUUCUAUAAAGGAAUAAAGUCGGGUAUGGAUACCCGUUUGCAUGUACUUUAUGAAUAAGGAUCGGCUAACUCCGUGCCAGCAGCCGCGGUAAUACGGAGGAUCCGAGCGUUAUCCGGAUUUAUUGGGUUUAAAGGGAGCGUAGAUGGAUGUUUAAGUCAGUUGUGAAAGUUUGCGGCUCAACCGUAAAAUUGCAGUUGAUACUGGAUAUCUUGAGUGCAGUUGAGGCAGGCGGAAUUCGUGGUGUAGCGGUGAAAUGCUUAGAUAUCACGAAGAACUCCGAUUG
RNAcentral lists this ribosomal RNA (694 nucleotides) under uncultured bacterium. Its description in RNAcentral is "bacterial SSU rRNA". It matches the Rfam family "Bacterial small subunit ribosomal RNA", at positions 32 to 715 of the family's 1533-position model. The record is from RNAcentral.